RNAcentral lists this ribosomal RNA (452 nucleotides) under uncultured Gammaproteobacteria bacterium. RNAcentral's name for it is "bacterial SSU rRNA". It matches the Rfam family "Bacterial small subunit ribosomal RNA", at positions 75 to 524 of the family's 1533-position model. Lineage: Bacteria; Pseudomonadati; Pseudomonadota; Gammaproteobacteria. The record is from RNAcentral.
CUUGCUCCUUGGGUGGCGAGUGGCGGACGGGUGAGGAAUACAUCGGAAUCUACUCUGUCGUGGGGGAUAACGUAGGGAAACUUACGCUAAUACCGCAUACGACCUACGGGUGAAAGCAGGGGAUCUUCGGACCUUGCGCGAUUGAAUGAGCCGAUGUCGGAUUAGCUAGUUGGCGGGGUAAAGGCCCACCAAGGCGACGAUCCGUAGCUGGUCUGAGAGGAUGAUCAGCCACACUGGAACUGAGACACGGUCCAGACUCCUACGGGAGGCAGCAGUGGGGAAUAUUGGACAAUGGGCGCAAGCCUGAUCCAGCCAUACCGCGUGGGUGAAGAAGGCCUUCGGGUUGUAAAGCCCUUUUGUUGGGAAAGAAAUCCAGCUGGCUAAUACCCGGUUGGGAUGACGGUACCCAAAGAAUAAGCACCGGCUAACUUCGUGCCGGCAGCCGUGGUAAU